AUAUGAAAUAUUCCAUUUCAAGCACAGAACAUUUAAUGUUAUUUUGUAACAAAGAUUUUUAUUGAAAAAUUAUUUUUUUACUGAGAAGUUAAAUAUCAGUAUUUUAGAAUUAUCAUUAUUAACAUUUAUUACUUAUUACAAACAAUGUCCGAAUAUGCCCACCGUAAAACGAAACGUUUGGAAAAAUGGCGUUACAAAAGUCAUAUUUUUUUUAGGUUAAUUUACUUGGUUUAUUAUUUUAUUAUUUAUUUAUUAGUUUAUUAUUUUUGAUGUCUUUUUUAUCACUUUAUUAAAUAAAAAUUAAAUGUUCCAUUUUUUUUUUCAAUUCAAAUUCGAAAUUGUGAUUUUGUUAAUUUCUUGUUAAAAAUGAGUGAACCCGGCAGAAAUAAACGGUAUUGCAUUUUCAGCUGUGCGGAUUUGGGUGCACCCAUGCACGGUAUUCCUCAUCCGGAAAGAAAAGUCGAGUUAUUUGCUAUUUGGCUGUCAAUUGCUGGAUAGAAACUGAAGGAGACUGACCCUUGGAAGAUAUAUAAAAAGGUUCAUCACAGUUCCUGCACAAGGAAAGUAAAUCUGCACAAAAGGACAUCAGAAGUUUAAAGAACAAGUUGAGGAAGUCAGUGAAACAGGCAGGACAUAAAAAAGCAAGACUCGCCACGGUUUCUAACCUGUUACAUAGAUCUGACGAUAUGGCAAGAUUUACAAAAAAUAUGAGCCGAUCAUGCCGCAUUUUUACGGGCAUGCAAUAACGCCAAGCAUCAAAAAAACCAAAAGGAAGAAGAUAUAACAUGGAAGAAAAAGUAUUGGCGCUAUCCAUUUUCAAGAAAAGCCCUAAAUGCUAUAAUUUAUUGUAUAAAUAUUUUAAAUUAUCAUCAGCAAAAUCAUUGAAAAACUUGUGCGACAUAAAAAUAUUGCCAGGUAUUAACAAUUGCAUUUUUGAAAAAUUAAAAGAAACUGUUGAUGAGCUCAUUGAAGAAGACCGAUUGUGCACUUUAAUGUUCGAUGAAAUGUCACUGACACCUCAUGUUCAAUAUAACCCUGGAACAGAUGAACUGAAAGGUUUUGUAAGCCACGAUGAUAAAUUAAAAAUCGCCAACCAUGCCAUGGUUUUCAUGGUAAAAGGUAUAAAAAAGAAUUUCAAACAACCUCUGGCAUACUAUUUCACACAAAGUCUGAAAACGAUUGAAUUAAAGUAAAGGCGAUUAUAAAAGAAGGCUAUACACAAAACUGGCCUUAAAGUGAUAUGCACGGUGUGUGAUCAAGGGGCAACGAACGUGAGCGCUAUAAACAGUCUCGUUAAAGACACUAGAGAAAUGUAUAUAAAGGCAGGAAAACAAUGGCGGGAGGAAUGUUUCGAAGUCGAAGGAGCCAAAAUUAUUCCACUUUACGAUGUCCCCCAUCUUAUCAAAGGAUUACGAAAUAAUCUGUUAAACAAAGAUAUACAGUAUAAAGAUUCAAGCCAAAAUGAUAAAAUUAUAAAAUGAGAGUUCUUCGAACAGCUUUAUGAAGCCGAUAAAACACGCGGAGAGCUUAGGAGCCUUCACAAACUAAGCCUUCAAAAAGAUGAGAGUGAAGAUGGCUGCCCAGAUUUUUAGUCAUAGCGUGGCUACAACAACAGACCAUUUCGUUGCCAGAGGACUCUUGCCCGAGGAAUGUCGACAGUUAAUAAAUCCUGUUCUCUUGAUUGAUAAGCUAUUCGUUAGCUUGAAUGCUGGUACAUUUCAUGUGCCAAAUGGCAAAUUAUAUAGAGGAGCUGUGCGCAAAACAUCAGAGCACCAUGAACUGUGGCGAAAGGCAAUAACUUUUUUUAAAAAUGCUAAAUUUUUAUCAAAAAAGAAGAUAGGAAACAAAAUUAGACUCGUCGAAACAAAUAUUCCUAGUACAAAAAAUUUAAUUAAAACUAUCGAGGGAAUGCAAGCCAUCUGGAAAAUUCUUAGCCAAAAAUAUUCUCUAGAUAGCAUGUUAACAAGAAAUUUUAAUCAGGACCCGGUUGAAAACUUUUUUGGAAAUAUUAGAAGCUUGGGAGUACGAAACAAUUCGCCAACAUGCACUACUUUUGAAGGUUCAUUUAAAUCUCUGCUCUUAAAUAACUUUAGUUCCCAACAGGCAAUCAACGCGAAUUGCGAAGAAGAUUUCAAUUCAUACUUGCAAACUUUAGAUUUUUUUUUAGACGAAAAUAAAAAAAAGAAAGUUUAAAAAAACAGAACGAUAUGCAAAUAAACGAAAAACUUAUGGAAUCAUUAACAUCAGAGUCGACAAACAAUGCCAAUUCGUCUACGCAGGCGCAAUAUGUUUGUGGCUGGGUCCUAACUAAAUGUUUAAAAAAAAAAAACACAAUGUUCUCUAUGUCGAAACUCUUUGCUCGCAAACAAAAAUGGAAAAGGUACUCUCAUGCAGGCUAGAGAAUAUACCAACAAGAUUUGGCUUUGCUAUCCAUCGGAUGCAUUAUACAAUAGUUUUAGAGAAAUACAGGACAUAACAGUCACAUACAGUGCUGGACAAAAUGCAUCAUACACCGACAUAUAAAAUAAACUUUCUAUCAUAAUUUUUUUACCCUUAAGCCCCAUUUAGAUGGUACGAGUUUCUCGCCCGUUUUGGUCGAGAAACUCGUAUGACAUUAUCGUA
Long non-coding RNA from Leguminivora glycinivorella, 2622 nucleotides. RefSeq lists it as uncharacterized. The record is from RefSeq and is a predicted model, not a curated record. The transcript has 4 exons. NCBI's taxonomy places the organism in Eukaryota, Metazoa, Arthropoda, Insecta, Lepidoptera, Tortricidae.